UACGGAGGGGGCAAGCGUUGUUCGGAGUUACUGGGCGUAAAGCGCGCGUAGGCGGUGCGGUAAGUCAGGGGUUAAAGGCUGCAGCUCAACUGCAGUAAGGCCUUUGAUACUAUCGUGCUAGAGUGUCAGAGAGGAUGGCGGAAUUCCCGGUGUAGCGGUGAAAUGCGUAGAUAUCGGGAAGAACGCCGGUGGUGAAGACGGUCUCCUGGGCUACUCCUGACGCUGAGGCGCGAAAGCUAGGGGAGCGAACGGG
Molecule: ribosomal RNA, 253 nt
Filed under: uncultured microorganism
Description: partial 16S ribosomal RNA
Rfam family: Bacterial small subunit ribosomal RNA
Source: RNAcentral